GAUGAACGCUGGCGGCGUGCUUAACACAUGCAAGUCGAACGGAAAGGCCCAAGCUUGCUUGGGUACUCGAGUGGCGAACGGGUGAGUAACACGUGGGUGAUCUGCCCUGCACUUCGGGAUAAGCCUGGGAAACUGGGUCUAAUACCGGAUAGGACCACUUCUUGGAUGUUGUGGUGGAAAGUUUUUUCGGUGUGGGAUGAGCUCGCGGCCUAUCAGCUUGUUGGUGGGGUAAUGGCCUACCAAGGCGUCGACGGGUAGCCGGCCUGAGAGGGUGUACGCCACAUUGGGACUGAGAUACGGCCCAGACUCCUACGGGAGGCAGCAGUGGGGAAUAUUGCACAAUGGGCGCAAGCCUGAUGCAGCGACGCCGCGUGGGGGAUGACGGCCUUCGGGUUGUAAACUCCUUUCGCUAGGGACGAAGCGUUUUGUGACGGUACCUGGAGAAGAAGCACCGGCUAACUACGUG
RNAcentral lists this ribosomal RNA (466 nucleotides) under uncultured bacterium. Its description in RNAcentral is "partial 16S ribosomal RNA". It matches the Rfam family "Bacterial small subunit ribosomal RNA", at positions 28 to 507 of the family's 1533-position model. The record is from RNAcentral.